AAGUUCCUGAGAUGUUCGACACUCCUGUAAUUUUGAACCUACAUGAUUAAACAGGGAUUCCUACAUUUGUAGGUGGAUGUCAAGCCGCCGUAUGUAGCGGAAGGCAGAAGCUUACAUGCGGUUACCCACCUAGCUUUGCUAGGAGUCAAAAUGCAGGAAACGGCAUUUCGGGUAUAUA
RNAcentral lists this non-coding RNA (178 nucleotides) under Clostridiales bacterium. RNAcentral describes it as "6S RNA". It matches the Rfam family "6S / SsrS RNA". From Rfam's summary of the family: E. coli 6S RNA was the first non coding RNA to be sequenced, but its function was unknown until recently. It consists of 184 nucleotides that fold into an extended hairpin structure with a large single-stranded internal bulge. Lineage: Bacteria; Bacillati; Bacillota; Clostridia; Eubacteriales. The record is from RNAcentral.